GUUUUGCAUAAUUUCUGCAUGCAGGUUAACCAGAAAGCUGCAGAAGCUUUGGCUGAUCCUGAAGAAUAUCCUAACUUGUUUGAGCACUGGCAAAUUGCACAUUCUGUUGAAGCUAGAGUUGCGGAGGAAAGGGGUGUAUACCCGCCAGCGGCAGAUUAUGGAAAUUAUGCUGAUAGACCAACUACUAACCUCGUAGAAGCUUUCAGCAACAUGAGAGUGGAUGAAGAACCACUUGAAAAUGGAGAGUUGGAUCAUGAGGUUGCAGAACAGAAUGGUGAUGAGGUGCAAGAACCGGGUGAAGAUGACAUUCAACAAGAGGGCCAAGAAGAGGCUGUUGUGGUGGAUGCUGACUCUACUGAUGGUGCAGUACUCGUUAAUGGAAACGAGGCUGACGAAGAGUGGGGUACGAAUACUGAAGGAAAACCGUCAGCCUAAAAGCAAUUGGUUGGGUUGGUGUGAAAUCCUAGUUUAUUUGCUGUUCUUACACCACGUCAUUAGGUUCAGCCAAGACAGAUGGUUCCAGUUGUAUGUAAUCCGUUCUUAAGAUUCUGCUGCCUUAAAGGGACGGUUCAAGGGACCGGAUGUCUGUUCUGCCAGUGGUGUGUGAUUUUGUAGCAAUGAGUUUUGUCGGCAUAUUGUAGAAAGACAUUUCUUUCCAGCUUCGGCUAUUAGCUUUAGUCUCCUCAUAGCGUUAUUAUUCUUUUGAGGCAUAAAUUUAUACCUUCCAAAUUCUUACGUGCCCUUGUGAAUGUAUAAACACAUACCAUAUAUAAAAGCGGGAAUAGCGCAGAAAGUGUUUUAACUUCCA
This is a non-coding RNA of Nicotiana tabacum (common tobacco), 808 nucleotides long. The record is from RefSeq and is a predicted model, not a curated record. NCBI's taxonomy places the organism in Eukaryota, Viridiplantae, Streptophyta, Magnoliopsida, Solanales, Solanaceae.